RNAcentral lists this long non-coding RNA (346 nucleotides) under Physcomitrium patens. RNAcentral's name for it is "long non-coding RNA (PPAT_LNC002405)". The record is from RNAcentral. Lineage: Eukaryota; Viridiplantae; Streptophyta; Bryopsida; Funariales; Funariaceae.
UAAAACAAGGUGAAGAUUUUGAAGAAAAAAUAGAACUUUUAUUAUUUCUUAAAAAAUAUCUUGCUAUAAAAAAAAUAAUAUGAUUUGGUAUAGAUAUUAAAGUAUCUCUAAUUAUCUCUAUAUCUUUAAUUUUUGUCAAUAUUGUUACUUUUUGUGGUGUAAAAUUAAAUUUAAUAUAUUACAAGAAUUAUUAAUUUUAAUUGUUAUUGCAUUUAUGCCAUUGUAUUUUCUUAUUUCAAUAAGCUUGGCCAUAAUAAUAUAGUUAAAAAAAGAUUUCUAAUAUCAUUCAAGACAAAUAGAAGAGAAGACCCAACAACAAAGAAAAUUUUAAGAAUAAUAUUAGUUC